CGUGGGCAGAACCAUGACCAAGGGAGAGGGGAAGCCAAGAGGAGAGAUUUCAGAUGGAUAAACAAGUUUCUCACAGUCGAGGAAUAAGAACCACACGGGCAGGCUUCCUCGGAGAGGCCCGUGCCCCAACCUAGAGGACAUGAAGCCCAGACCAGGACUGUGACCUGCAGCUGGAGACCCCUCUUGACCCAUGGGGGCUGGUGUGCUAAGGUGCAAAGGGAGGGAAGAGCAACAUGCCGUGUGACACCUGCAGACAGUUCUUCCUGUUCUGGAAUCUUCCGGUUGGCCCCAGGGGUGUACCCUAGGGCAGCCCACAGCCAGCCCCUGCUAGAUCCCGGCUCCCGGCAACCCUCAAUGCUGAACUCUCCCGGGAGUCCUGUGGCGGCAAACAGCCCUGGGCGUGACGCAGCAAGAAGACCCUCGCCAGGUGCCAACCUUGUGAUCUCGGACUUCCCAAUCUCAAACACUGCAAAGCCAAUUGCUGUUCAUUAUCAAUUACUCAUUCUGUGGUAUUCUGUUCCAGCAGCACAAAAUGGACUAAGACACGGGAAGAAAAAAAUCCAGACAAAGCAAUUUUUAGAAGAGGCAAAAGACUUGACAGGAAUUUAAGAGAAUACCCAAAUAGCCAAUUAGGACAUGAAAAGGUAUCUAGUAUGCACCAGGAAAACACAGAUUAAAAUGUGCUGAGGUUCUACUACACAUGCACCAGAAUUGCCAAACGCAGAGGAUAACGCUAAGAAUUGCCAAAGCUGUGGAAAGGAACUCCCAUGCUCAGCUGGCAGGAGUGGAAAUCGGUACAACUCUUCUAGAAACCCACCAGGCAGUUUCUACCAAAGCUGAGCAUGUAUAUCCCAACGGGCCAGCAAUCUUCUUCUAGGUAUGUGCUCAACAGAAAUGUCUGUAGCACACGUGCACCAAAUGACAAGGAUCAUGGCGGCGGCAUCAUCCCCAACAGCUCAAAGCUACAAAUCCCAAAUGACCACGAACAGAAUGGGUGUAUAAUUUGUGCUAUGAUCACACAAUGGAACCAUACACAGCAGGGAACGACUCCCUCCCUCCGUCCCAUGAGGAGCCUCCUCUAUCCUUUCUUUUCCCAAGCUCCAGACCCCCGUUACCCAGCUGUCAUCCCCUAACACCACAGGCAGCACCCACCUCUGGGCCACAGAAGACGACCCUGAGCAAACGUGGCUUAAGGCUCCAACCCUGCCAACUCCACUCAGGUGGGCUGGGGCGUAGCACUGGCCCUGGAAGGCUGGUCCAGGCAGCAGCUGGGUUCCAGUCCCAGCUCGACCGCUUUGGGAGCACGGCCAUCGCCCAGUCAGCUCAGGUCCCUACACACCAUGGGAGGCUCACCCUCAAGGAGGGUCAAGAUCUCCCCUGGGUCCAGAAGCCUCAGUUCCGUCCAGGACCACUGUCAACGCUCAGCUCCUUCCCCAGGAACUCGGCCACCUCCCUUCUUUCAUCAUGGCCCCACACGCCUUCUAGCUCCUUCCCACUCACACAAAGGAGCACCUGGGACUGGAGAGGCAGCGCCUCUCCACGCAGCACAGGCUUCAUUUUCCAAGUUCUCCCGCCACCGACCUGAUGUGGAAGACACACUUGGCACAAAAGGACCAGACAAAAUCCAGUGCCAGUCAGGUUGGCGGUGUUCUGAGAAGGCAUAGACAAAAACAGAAACUGAGUCGUAGCAGGGGUUAACAAUUUUAUAUCCACUCUGGCAAGAGGCGGCUCGUUCCUCAGGCACUGCCUGCGUAUUUCCCUAUUUCAUCCCUGGAGAGUUUCAAUGUCCAGAAAGGUUUCUUCCUUCCCAGACCCUCUCUCCAUCCUUCCCAGUUUAAAUGGUCAUUUCUGCCAAGAAUCAUCUGUCUCACUACUUCCUGCUGGUCCAUUAAUUACAAUAACAAGAAAUAACCCUGCAGUGAUGUCAUCCCAACUUUUACUUCCUGUAGUGAACGCACAGGUCAGGCCGACCGCUGUGUGUGUCCAGAUGCACCAGGCCUCCAUUUUGAAAAGAGAAAAAAUUCACAGCUCUUACACUCCAAAGCUUUCAUGUGUCCAGAAGCACUCACCCCAAGGUUUGAUAAGUUAAAUAAAAACAAAAUGUGUGUCAGGCACCGCUACCACCAAAAUGUCGCUAUUGUAAGCGGAAAACAAGCCACUGAUUGUGUAGAGCUGUGAAUGUAGGUUUAUAUACAUAAAGAAAAGCCACAUUUUCAAGACACAUGUAAUGAGAUGCAGGGUAUAAGACACAUUCAGUGUUUCUAGCAUGUGUGAGCUAGGGAGAGUUGGUUUCUGACAUCAGCAGGGACAAGGCGGCACCUGUUGGGGAUGGAGUGACUCCCUUAUCUGUGUUCUUAGAGCAACAGGGCUGGAGACAGGGAAAGAAGAACCCCCGUCUGGCUCCACACUCCUUGGGCUUGUGGAAAGGCUUUACUCACCCCUCACCAGGCCUAGCAGCCAACAGCAAUCGGUGUGGUUAAUUUUUUGAAGGGAUCAAAGAAUAAAGCUGCCUCCAACAGCA
Molecule: long non-coding RNA, 2521 nt
Organism: Piliocolobus tephrosceles (Ugandan red Colobus)
Lineage: Eukaryota; Metazoa; Chordata; Mammalia; Primates; Cercopithecidae
Exons: 2
Source: RefSeq, a predicted model, not a curated record